UGUCCUCUCUUCUUUUCUCAGGUGGUCCAUAUUAGUGAACAUAUUGUUUUUUGUUUUCUCUUUAUAAGAUCUGCAUUUGCUGUCCCAGCAGUGUCUAACUUGAUGUCCUCUGCAAAUUUAACAAAUAUGUCGUCUUUUCCAUCAUGUGGUCAACCCCGGGAUCACCACCGAACAUCCUUCUCGACUUCUCCAAUCCAUGGAUCUUGAUCUCUGUUGUCCAUUCCACCAAAUGUCCUCAAACCUGGCAGAAAAGGGAAAAGGCUAAUGCUCCAGGGCUGCAUCACUGUGGGCACGCCAAGCUUCCCUGGUUACCUGAGCUGCUCCUGCGGUGUCCCCCGCAUCGGCUUCGCCAGGGUGCACUGGAACCCCGAGUCGCGGUCUGCGCCAUGCCGAAGAAGGACCUGCUCCGGAGCUCUGGCCGGGGCCCCUCACAGCUGCAAGAGGGUGACGCCGCAGAAGACCCGGGGUGGGACGGGUAGAGAGGACGCCAAGGACCGGGGACGGGGAGUUAGGAGUCCAUCCUGUGCCCGCUGGUCGUCCGCGGGGCGAGGGCAGCCGUGGCCCCUGCCGCGGGCACCCAGCUUGGGCUGCUCCCAGCGAUUAAUCUGGGGGGGGGGGUGGAGAGAACCAAGCCGAGAUGUGGUGGCAUUUUACCUGAGUGGAGCUGAAGAUGGAUAA
RNAcentral lists this long non-coding RNA (678 nucleotides) under Zalophus californianus (California sea lion). Its description in RNAcentral is "lncRNA (ENSZCAG00015013942.1)". Lineage: Eukaryota; Metazoa; Chordata; Mammalia; Carnivora; Otariidae. The record is from RNAcentral.